RNAcentral lists this transfer RNA (69 nucleotides) under Marmota monax (woodchuck). RNAcentral's name for it is "tRNA.SeC". It matches the Rfam family "tRNA". Rfam says of the family: Transfer RNA (tRNA) molecules are approximately 80 nucleotides in length. Their secondary structure includes four short double-helical elements and three loops (D, anti-codon, and T loops). Further hydrogen bonds mediate the characteristic L-shaped molecular structure. tRNAs have two regions of fundamental functional importance: the anti-codon, which is responsible for specific mRNA codon recognition, and the 3' end, to which the tRNAs corresponding amino acid is attached (by aminoacyl-tRNA synthetases). tRNAs cope with the degeneracy of the genetic code in two manners: having more than one tRNA (with a specific anti-codon) for a particular amino acid; and 'wobble' base-pairing, i.e. permitting non-standard base-pairing at the 3rd anti-codon position. Lineage: Eukaryota; Metazoa; Chordata; Mammalia; Rodentia; Sciuridae. The record is from RNAcentral.
GGGGUUGUGGCUCAGUGGCAGAGCACUUGCCUCACACAGGAGGCACUGGGUUCGAUUCUCAGCACCACA